Molecule: ribosomal RNA, 500 nt
Filed under: uncultured bacterium
Lineage: Bacteria
Description: partial 16S ribosomal RNA
Rfam family: Bacterial small subunit ribosomal RNA
Source: RNAcentral
AUUGAACGCUGGCGGCAGGCUUAACACAUGCAAGUCGAACGGUAACAGGGUGCUUGCACCGCUGACGAGUGGCGAACGGGUGAGUAAUGCGUCGGAACGUGCCGAGUAGUGGGGGAUAACGCAGCGAAAGUUGUGCUAAUACCGCAUACGUACUGAGGUAGAAAGUGGGGGACCUUCGGGCCUCACGCUAUUCGAGCGGCCGACGUCUGAUUAGCUAGUAGGUGAGGUAAAGGCUCACCUAGGCGACGAUCAGUAGCGGGUCUGAGAGGAUGGUCCGCCACACUGGGACUGAGACACGGCCCAGAGUCCUACGGGAGGCAGCAGUGGGGAAUUUUGGACAAUGGGCGAAAGCCUGAUCCAGCCAUGCCGCGUGUCUGAAGAAGGCCUUCGGGUUGUAAAGGACUUUUGUCAGGGAGGAAAUCCCUAGUGCUAAUAACACUGGGGGAUGACAGUACCUGAAGAAUAAGCACCGGCUAACUACGUGCCAGCCGCCGCGGUAA